This 3131-nucleotide long non-coding RNA is filed under the name Sus scrofa (pig). RNAcentral describes it as "lncRNA (ENSSSCG00005045382.1)". Lineage: Eukaryota; Metazoa; Chordata; Mammalia; Artiodactyla; Suidae. The record is from RNAcentral.
CACACAUGGCAUUUCCCAGGCUAGGGGUCCAAUUGGAGCUACUGCUGCUGGCCUACAUCACAGCUCACGCAACACCUGAUCCUUAACCCACUGAGCAAGGCCAGGGAUCGAACCCAAAACCUCAUAGUUCCUAGUCGGAUUCAUUUCCACUGCACCAUGACGGGAAUUCCACCAAUUAUGGAAAUCUUCUAUAAUUACACCGUUCAGUGUGGCAACUACUAACCACUUGGGGCUACUUGAAAAGUGACUAGGGUGACUGAAGAACUGAAUUUUUUAAAUUUUAUUUAAUUUUAACUAAUCUUAGUACAAACUUAAAUAGCUACAUGUGGGUGGUACUACCACAGCGGACAAAGUUGUAAAGUCCUAAUGGUCCAUAUUAAUCAGGGAAAGUAUCUUACUCUAGCAUCCAGAAGCAACCAAUACUAAUUUUCCCAGAUGUCUCACUUUUUCCCUUCAUUCCCUUAAAAAGAGAGAGCUCCCCCUCUUUUUUUUUUUUUUUUUUUGUCUUUUUGCCAUUUCUUGGGCCACUCCCGCGGCAUAUGGAGGUUCCCAGGCUAGGGUCCAAUCGGAGCUGUAUUGUGACCUACGACACAGCAGCAGCAACACCCACUAUGCUGCCCUGGGGAUUGAACUUGAGUCCCAGUGCUCCAGAGACAUAGCCAAUCCUGCUGCACCGAAGCAGCAACUCUGUCUCGUCUGCUUUUUUGUUUUUUUUCGGUCUUUUUGUCUUUUUAAGGCCACACCCUGGCAUAUGGAGGUGUGCCCCUAAAAAGACAAAAAGUCAAAAAAAAAAAAAAAAAAAAAGAAAAUUAUCAAGUGAAAACUGCCUAAGUAUCCAUCAAAAGGGCACUCGUUAAGUAAAUUAUAAGAUGGAAUAUUACAUAAUCACUAAAAAAAAAAAAAAAGUUAAAGAGACUAGAAAUAUUAGGGGUUAAAAACAAGUUACACGUGAAUAUAUGUCCUUAUGUGCAGAGUACCUAGAAGAAUACUAACAGUAAUUGUACCUCAAGAGUUAGAUGAAAUAAGCUGAGACAGGAACUGAACAUUUCCCCCACUGAUAGAAGAGUAAUUUUUUUCUUGCUUUUCCGGGCCACACCCACAGCAUAUGGAGGUUCUAAGGCUGGGGGUUGAAUUAGAGCUACAGCUGACAGCCUACACCACAGCCACAGCAAUGCAGGAUCCAAGGCACGUCUUCAACCAACACCAGAGCUCAGAACACCAGAUCCUUAAUCCACUGAGCAAGGCCAGGGAUCAAACCCACAAUUUCAUUGUUCCUAGUUUCCACUGCGCCACGAUGGGAACUCCCAGAAGAGUUAAUUUUCAAAAACAAAAUAUUAGGUCAGGAGAUUCCACCAUGGCUCAGAGGUAACAAACCCAACUAGAAUCCAUGAGGACUCGGAAUCGAUCCCUGGCCUCGAUCAGUGGGUUGGGAAUGUGGCGUUGCUGUGAACUGUGGUAUAGGUUAAAGCUGCAACUCAGCUCCUGCAUGGUUGUGGCAUAUGUAAGCCAGCAGCUAAAGCUCUGAUUCAACCCCCUAGCUUGGCAACUUCCAUAUGCCCCAGGUGUGGCCCUACACACACACACACACAUACACACACACACAAACAAGGUCAGUAAAGUCUUUUUGCAUAUUCCAAGAUUCUCUCUAUAAAAAAUUCCAAUCUAUGGAGGUCUGUGUGAACCUCACUCACUGUGUAGAAGAGUUAAUUUAACACAGAAGGCCAGAGAUUGCUAUGCUUAGGAAGAGCUUGCCAGGUUAGCCCUUGGAUGGUGUCAAAACUUGGAUUUUCAGACAACUAAUCCUCAGUGCUAGAACUAGUAAGAGUGGCUCACUGUGCCUAAACUGUACCCCAAAGAGGUGGUUCAUGUUGAAUACCCACCUUCCUUCUGGGAACCUGGAAUUUUGGUAUCUGGUAGGCAGAGGGUGCCGACAUGACCAACCCAGGUGACAAGUCUCUAAUGAGCUUCCCUGCCAGGCAACAUUUCAUACACAUGCGGUCACAACUGCUGGAGGAAUGAAGUGUGUCCUGUAUGACUCCACUGGGAGAGACAUUAGGAGAGGCUCAUAUGCUUGGGAGAAUGAGCCUAGCUUCCUCUGGACUUCACCCCAUAUGCAUUUUCCCUUUCCUAAUCUUGCUUUGUAUCCUUUUGUUGCAAUAAAUCAUAGCCCUGAGUACAAUUAUAUGCCAAGUUAGGGAAGUCUUUCUAGGGAAUUACUAAACCUGGGGUUGGAGGUAGUCCUGGGACCCCCACCCCAACAUACUCAUCCUACUAGUAGCCAAGAGGAAAUGCCUUCUAAACUUAACUGGGACUCAAUUUAUGGGUUUCCUUUCCACAUGUGCAGAAUUCAGUUCAGAAUUUAGUAUUUUAUCAUAAAGACAAUCCUAGAUGCUAUAUGGAUUGGCUUGGGUAUCUUUUAGGGAAUAGAGAGUAGCAGUCUUAUGAGAUGUUCACCAAAUCGGUUUCCUCCUCCUAGCUAAACAGCUAGACCGUAUUUCUCAGCCUCUCCUGCAUAGGUGUGACCAAGCCUCAAAGAAGUGCAGGCCAAAAUACUAGCCACUCCCAGACCUGAUCCAUAAAACCUCCUACUCAUGAUCAUCUGGUUCUUUCACCAACUGCCAGCUGAAUGAAUAGAACUCCCAAGACCUAGAAGAGGACAGUGCCACAGAUGGAAGGAGCCUGUGUUCUUGAAUUACUACAUAAAAGGCAACCUAAUAAACAUUCUCAAUGAAAGUUAUCUGAGUAUAAAUGUUUGCUCUGCUAAGGCACUGGUAUUUUGAGGUUGUUUGUGGCCAACACUAGCCUGCUUUGCCUACCAACAAAGGAUAUGAUCAGGUUAAAAAUUUUAGACGUGUGGAGUUCCCGUCGUGGCGCAGUGGUUAACGAAUCCGACUAGGAACCAUGAGGUUGCGGGUUCGGUCCCUGUCCUUGCUCAGUGGGUUAACGAUCCGGCGUUGCCGUGAGCUGUGGUGUAGGUUGCAGACGCGGCUCAGAUCCCGCGUUGCUGUGGCUCUGGUGUAGGCCGGUGGCUACAGCUCCGAUUCAACCCCUGGCCUGGGAACCUCCAUAUGCCACGGGAGCGGCCCAAGAAAUAGCAACAACAACAAAAGACCAAAAAAAAAAAAAAAAAA